This 226-nucleotide ribosomal RNA is filed under the name Sinorhizobium sp. Its description in RNAcentral is "partial 16S ribosomal RNA". It matches the Rfam family "Bacterial small subunit ribosomal RNA", at positions 46 to 300 of the family's 1533-position model. Lineage: Bacteria; Pseudomonadati; Pseudomonadota; Alphaproteobacteria; Hyphomicrobiales; Rhizobiaceae. The record is from RNAcentral.
AGGCUUAACACAUGCAAGUCGAGCGCGUAGCAAUACGAGCGGCAGACGGGUGAGUAACGCGUGGGAAUCUACCCUUUUCUACGGAAUAACGCAGGGAAACUUGUGCUAAUACCGUAUGAGCCCUUCGGGGGAAAGAUUUAUCGGGAAAGGAUGAGCCCGCGUUGGAUUAGCUAGUUGGUGGGGUAAAGGCCUACCAAGGCGACGAUCCAUAGCUGGUCUGAGAGGA